CCCUUCUCAAGAUCGCAUCUGGGGAGUUUCCAGCACUCUACCAGUCUCGACUACGGGAGGCAGAGUCAAGCAGGGGCAUAUUCAUUCCAUUUCUAGCUUGGGCAGAGGCUAGUGAAUGGAAGGCAAUCCGCUACAAAU
Small nucleolar RNA from Tachyglossus aculeatus (Australian echidna), 138 nucleotides. The record is from RefSeq and is a predicted model, not a curated record. NCBI's taxonomy places the organism in Eukaryota, Metazoa, Chordata, Mammalia, Monotremata, Tachyglossidae.